AAGUUCCACGUACUGCCUCCAUCUAGAGGAAAUUUUAAAAGAUUUUUUGGCGAUUUUUCAGGGGGUUCCCCAUGGGGCUUUCCACCCGGAUUAGGGUGCCCCGUUUCUCCCGCUGAAAUGAUGCGAUCAAGCAUC
Non-coding RNA from Monodelphis domestica (gray short-tailed opossum), 135 nucleotides. NCBI's taxonomy places the organism in Eukaryota, Metazoa, Chordata, Mammalia, Didelphimorphia, Didelphidae. The record is from Rfam.